This 441-nucleotide ribosomal RNA is filed under the name uncultured Hyphomicrobiaceae bacterium. RNAcentral describes it as "bacterial SSU rRNA". It matches the Rfam family "Bacterial small subunit ribosomal RNA", at positions 338 to 796 of the family's 1533-position model. Lineage: Bacteria; Pseudomonadati; Pseudomonadota; Alphaproteobacteria; Hyphomicrobiales; Hyphomicrobiaceae. The record is from RNAcentral.
CCUACGGGCGGCUGCAGUGGGGAAUAUUGGACAAUGGGCGCAAGCCUGAUCCAGCCAUGCCGCGUGAGUGAUGAAGGUCUUCGGAUUGUAAAACUCUUUCGCCGGGGAAGAUAAUGACGGUACCCGGAGAAGAAGCUCCGGCUAACUUCGUGCCAGCAGCCGCGGUAAUACGAAGGGAGCUAGCGUUGUUCGGAAUUACUGGGCGUAAAGCGCCCGUAGGCGGAUUUUUAAGUCAGGGGUGAAAUCCCAAGGCUCAACCUUGGAACUGCCUUUGAUACUGGAAGUCUCGGGAUCGGGAGAGGUGAGUGGAAUUCCUAGUGUAGAGGUGAAAUUCGUAGAUAUUAGGAAGAACACCAGUGGCGAAGGCGGCUCACUGGCCCGAUACUGACGCUGAGGUGCGAAAGCGUGGGGAGCAAACAGGAUUAGAUACCCGAGUAGUCG